This 233-nucleotide long non-coding RNA is filed under the name Elaeis guineensis (African oil palm). RNAcentral's name for it is "long non-coding RNA (EGUI_LNC042878)". Lineage: Eukaryota; Viridiplantae; Streptophyta; Magnoliopsida; Arecales; Arecaceae. The record is from RNAcentral.
CCAUUUCGGAACCUACGAGUGGCCACCUCCUCGAAGAUCUGAUGGCCAACCUCCUCAUCCUGAGGAGUCUCGAAUCGAUAGUACUCCUACAGAUAGAAGCAAGCAUUUAUUAAUAAAUAAAAUACAAACCUAUCAUAAAUUUAAAAAUUAAAUACCUUGAACUAACCAAGAACAUCUCCCAAGCUGCAUCACGAGCCUCCAACGGUCAACUAGAGAACUCAUCCACCGGCCCC